AACGCGAAGAACCUUACCAGCCCUUGACAUGUCCGGUAUGGGGUGGGGGAGACCCACUUCUUCAGUUCGGCUGGCCGGAACACAGGUGCUGCAUGGCUGUCGUCAGCUCGUGUCGUGAGAUGUUGGGUUAAGUCCCGCAACGAGCGCAACCCCCAUCUUCAGUUGCCAGCGGUUCGGCCGGGCACUCUGAAGAAACUGCCGGUGACAAGCCGGAGGAAGGCGGGGAUGACGUCAAGUCCUCAUGGCCCUUAUGGGCUGGGCUACACACGUGCUACAAUGGAACGGACAACGAGUCGCGAACCCGCGAGGGUAAGCUAAUCUCCUAAACCGUUUCUCAGUUCGGAUUGGAGGCUGCAACUCGCCUCCAUGAAGUCGGAAUCGCUAGUAACCGCAGAUCAGCUACGCUGCGGUGAAUACGUUCCCGGGCCUUGUACACACCGAGUAUA
This 446-nucleotide ribosomal RNA is filed under the name uncultured bacterium. RNAcentral describes it as "bacterial SSU rRNA". It matches the Rfam family "Bacterial small subunit ribosomal RNA", at positions 958 to 1398 of the family's 1533-position model. The record is from RNAcentral.